RNAcentral lists this ribosomal RNA (253 nucleotides) under uncultured bacterium. Its description in RNAcentral is "partial 16S ribosomal RNA". It matches the Rfam family "Bacterial small subunit ribosomal RNA", at positions 524 to 776 of the family's 1533-position model. The record is from RNAcentral.
UACGGGGGGUGCAAGCGUUGUCCGGAAUCAUUGGGCGUAAAGCGUUCGUAGGCGGUAUAUCAAGUCUGGUGUUAAAGCCCGGGGCUCAACUCCGGUUCGGCACUGGAUACUGGUAAACUAGAAUGUGGUAGAGGUAAGGGGAAUUCCUGGUGUAGCGGUGAAAUGCGUAGAUAUCAGGAGGAACAUCGGUGGCGAAAGCGCCUUACUGGGCCAUUAUUGACGCUGAGGAACGAAAGCCAGGGGAGCAAAUGGG